Molecule: ribosomal RNA, 28 nt
Filed under: Pultenaea dentata
Lineage: Eukaryota; Viridiplantae; Streptophyta; Magnoliopsida; Fabales; Fabaceae
Description: partial 26S ribosomal RNA
Source: RNAcentral
GAGACCUCAGGUCAGUCGGGUACUACCC